This 632-nucleotide ribosomal RNA is filed under the name Ustilago striiformis. RNAcentral's name for it is "LSU rRNA". It matches the Rfam family "Eukaryotic large subunit ribosomal RNA", at positions 42 to 655 of the family's 3401-position model. Lineage: Eukaryota; Fungi; Basidiomycota; Ustilaginomycetes; Ustilaginales; Ustilaginaceae. The record is from RNAcentral.
AUCCAAUUGCGGAGGAAAAGAAACUAACAAGGAUUCCCCUAGUAACGGCGAGUGAAGAGGGAAGAGCCCAAGAUUGAAAGCUGGCGUCUUCGGCGUCCGCAUUGUAAUCUCAAGAAGUGUUUUCCGCUUCGGACCAUGCCUAAGUCCCUUGGAAAAGGGCAUCAUAGAGGGUGAUAAUCCCGUACAUGGCAUGGAGCGCCCGAAGCUUUGUGAUACGCUUUCUAAGAGUCGAGUUGUUUGGGAAUGCAGCUCAAAAUGGGUGGUAAAUGCCAUCUAAGGCUAAAUAUUGGGGAGAGACCGAUAGCGAACAAGUACAGUGAUGGAAAGAUGAAAAGAACUUUGAAAAGAGAGUUAAACAGUACGUGAAAUUGCCAAAAGGGAAGGGUAGGAGGUCAGAGAUGCGUUCUGGGAUUCAGCCUUGCUUUUGCUUGGUGUUUUUCCCAAAUUGCAGGCCAACGUCGGUUUUGGGCGCUGGAGAAGGGUGGAAGGAACGUGGCACCCCUCGGGGUGUGUUAUAGCCUUCUACUGGAUACAGUGACCGAGACCGAGGACAGCAGCGUACUCGCAAGAGCGGGCCUUCGGGCACCUUUACGCUUAGGGCGUUGGCAUAAUGGCCCUCUACCACCCGUCUU